This 194-nucleotide long non-coding RNA is filed under the name Mus spicilegus (steppe mouse). Its description in RNAcentral is "lncRNA (ENSMSIG00000002582.1)". The record is from RNAcentral. Lineage: Eukaryota; Metazoa; Chordata; Mammalia; Rodentia; Muridae.
AAGAUGGCUUUGGAAAAGAUUGACCUUUUUGUAUCUCCCUAGGAAAAUUCAAGGAGAGAGACUCAAUGCAUCUUCAGCAGGAGCCCUUCAGAUGACUGUGCCACCAAAGCUGCGAUUACCCCGAGAGGACAGCUCCAGCUUUGCCCCCGGCCCUCCAGGAGAAACCCCAUGUCCUCCAGCCGCCAAGAUAUCCG